UUGCCCUAGUAACGGCGAGUGAAGCGGCAACAGCUCAAAUUUGAAAUCUGGCUCUUUCAGAGUCCGAGUUGUAAUUUGCAGAGGGCGCUUUGGCGUUGGCAGCGGUCCAAGUUCUUUGGAACAGGACGUCACAGAGGGUGAGAAUCCCGUACGUGGUCGCUAGCCUUCGCCGUGUAAAGCCCCUUCGACGAGUCGAGUUGUUUGGGAAUGCAGCUCUAAAUGGGAGGUAAAUUUCUUCUAAAGCUAAAUACUGGCCAGAGACCGAUAGCGCACAAGUAGAGUGAUCGAAAGAUGAAAAGCACUUUGGAAAGAGAGUCAAAUAGCACGUGAAAUUGUUGAAAGGGAAGCGCUUGCAGCCAGACUUGCCUGUAGUUGCUUAUCUGGACUUUUGUCCGGUGCACUCUUCUGCGGGCAGGCCAGCAUCAGUUUGGGCGGUUGGAUAAAGGUCUCUGUCAUGUACCUCCUUUCGGGGAGGCCUUAUAGGGGAGACGACAUGCAACCAGCCUGGACUGAGGUCCGCGCAUCUGCUAGGAUGCUGGCGUAAUGGCUGUAAGCGGCCCGUCUUGAAACACGGACCAAGGAGUCUAACAUCUAUGCGAGUGUUUGGGUGUCAAGCCCAGACGCGUAAUGAAAGUGAACGGAGGUGGGAACCCUUUGGGUGCACCAUCGACCGAUCCUGAUGUCUUCGGAUGGAUUUGAGUAAGAGCAUGGCUGUUGGGACCCGAAAGAUGGUGAACUAUGCUUGAAUAGGGUGAAGCCAGAGGAAACUCUGGUGGAGGCUCGCAGCGGUUCUGACGUGCAAAUCGAUCGUCAAAUUU
This 818-nucleotide ribosomal RNA is filed under the name Phaeosphaeria cycadis. Its description in RNAcentral is "partial large subunit ribosomal RNA". It matches the Rfam family "Eukaryotic large subunit ribosomal RNA", at positions 75 to 912 of the family's 3401-position model. The record is from RNAcentral. Lineage: Eukaryota; Fungi; Ascomycota; Dothideomycetes; Pleosporales; Phaeosphaeriaceae.